RNAcentral lists this transfer RNA (92 nucleotides) under compost metagenome. RNAcentral describes it as "tRNA-Sec". It matches the Rfam family "Selenocysteine transfer RNA". The record is from RNAcentral.
GGAAGGGAUGCGUCCCCGGUGGGGCGGCUGGACUUCAAAUCCAGCGAGGGUCGUAAGCCGGUCCUCUGUGGGUUCAACUCCCACUCUCUUCC